RNAcentral lists this ribosomal RNA (414 nucleotides) under uncultured bacterium. Its description in RNAcentral is "bacterial SSU rRNA". It matches the Rfam family "Bacterial small subunit ribosomal RNA", at positions 355 to 794 of the family's 1533-position model. The record is from RNAcentral.
UGGGGAAGUCUUGUCCAAUGGGCGGAGACCUGAUGCAGCCAUGCCGCGUGAAUGAUGAAGGCCUUAGGGUUGUAAAAUUAUUUCGUCAGGGAUGCCGUACCUGAAGAAGAAGCCCCGGCUAACUUCGUGCCAGCAGCCGCGGUAAUACGAAGGGGGCUAGCGUUGUUCGGAAUUACUGGGCGUAAAGCGCACGUAGGCGGACUUUUAAGUCAGGUGUGAAAUCCCGGGGCUCAACCUCGGAACUGCAUUUGAAACUGGGAGUCUUGAGAUCAGGAGAGGUUAGCGGAAUACCGAGUGUAGAGGUGAAAUUCGUAGAUAUUCGGUGGAACACCAGUGGCGAAGCGGCUAACUGGACUGAUACUGACGCUGAGGUGCGAAAGUGUGGGGAGCAAACAGGAUUAGAUCCCACGUAGU